GCUGGGCGUGGUGGCCCACGCCUGUAAUCCCAGCACUUUGGGAGGCCGAGGCGGGUGGAUCACCUGAGGUCAAGAGUUCAAGACCAGCCUGACCAACAUGGUGAAACCCUGUCUCUA
This 117-nucleotide non-coding RNA is filed under the name Chlorocebus sabaeus (green monkey). The record is from Rfam by way of RNAcentral. Lineage: Eukaryota; Metazoa; Chordata; Mammalia; Primates; Cercopithecidae.